GCGCGACAAGGUUAAAUCAUAAAUUACUAAGCGUAACUCAGAGCCAAAUAAUUUUAUCAGCCAAUAGUCAACUGGAAAUCAAAUAACCUCAAUUGUGAUCACAAAUUUAUUAAAAUCUGGACCCAUACAAGCCAUAUCUCUCAUUUCUAGAAGUUAAGAAACAUAAACAGCAGGUUAAUAUCCGUUUCCCAACUCACAAUCUAUCAUCAUGAAAAAGGGCAUUUCAAGCACUGGAAAUCAAAUAACCUCAAUUGUGAUCACAAAUUUGGAACAGUUUGACUUCACAUGAACCAUUGGUUGAUGAUUCAUCCUUAUAAGCAUAAACUAUCCUUCUCAUUUCAUCAAUAGCUAAACCCCCUGUAGAAGAAUCAAAACCCUUAUAGUACCCUCAUAGUACAAAACCAACCCAAAAAGCUUCCAGCUUUUACCAUUGGACUCAUUCCCAAUUCAGAUUUUAUGCCUCUAAAACAACCCGAUCACCAAAAUCUAGAUACAAAUUCUCAAAAUCCCAGAUAAAAUUUUUGCCUAAAAAUUCAAACUUGGAAUCAAAACUCAAUUCACCAAACAAAACCCAGAAUUUAUCUUCCUUAAACAGCCCAAAAUAUAGAAUCAAAUAACAUAAAUAUCCAAAGUUUUGCACAAAUGAGGCUUAUUUAGGACCUGUAAUAGACCUGGAAAAUCCAAAAUGAGAACAGGAAAUUCUGUGUGAAAAACAAAAGGGUGUUAAAUCAAUGACAUGAUCCAAUCAAAAGAAGCUCAAAAAGGACGUUGGCUGUGACAAUGCUGUUGGCCUGGAAAACGGUGGAUUUUUCUUUUUCAAUUUCUUCAACAAGUUUUCAUUGAAAAGUUAGAGCUGACAAAGAAUUUGAGAAAAAUAGUAACUUCUCAAGGUUUUUAUGAUUAUUACCAAUGAAAACCUUAUUUUUUUUUAAACUUGUUGAUAUUGUUAGACUUCUUGAGAUAGAAAGAGAG
This 972-nucleotide long non-coding RNA is filed under the name Populus trichocarpa (black cottonwood). RNAcentral describes it as "long non-coding RNA (PTRI_LNC000430)". Lineage: Eukaryota; Viridiplantae; Streptophyta; Magnoliopsida; Malpighiales; Salicaceae. The record is from RNAcentral.